Molecule: non-coding RNA, 90 nt
Filed under: Sulfuritalea hydrogenivorans
Lineage: Bacteria; Pseudomonadati; Pseudomonadota; Betaproteobacteria; Nitrosomonadales; Sterolibacteriaceae
Also listed under: 1 other name
Description: Glycine sequence
Rfam family: Glycine riboswitch aptamer
About the family: This family represents the bacterial glycine riboswitch.
Source: RNAcentral
UGCCGGUCGUCGGGAGAGAGUGACUCCCACCGUCACCGCCGAAGGCGCAACCCCCAGGAACCGCUCAGGCAAAAGGGCCGACGACGCAGC